Molecule: unclassified non-coding RNA, 250 nt
Filed under: plant metagenome
Description: partial contains small subunit ribosomal RNA, internal transcribed spacer 1, and 5.8S ribosomal RNA
Source: RNAcentral
GUAGGUGAACCUGCGGAAGGAUCAUUACCGAGUAUGCCCUUUAGGGCGGACCUCCCACCCUCUGUAUACUGACCUCUGUUGCUUUGGCGGGCCGCUUAGCUACCGGCUUCGGCUGGUAAGUGCCCGCCAGAGGAAACUUAAACCCUAACAAUUUUGGUGUUUUGUCUGAAAAAAAAUUAAAUAUUAAAACUUUCAACAACGGAUCUCUUGGCUCUGGCAUCGAUGAAGAACGCAGCAUCUGACUGACUAA